Molecule: ribosomal RNA, 544 nt
Filed under: Fusarium oxysporum
Lineage: Eukaryota; Fungi; Ascomycota; Sordariomycetes; Hypocreales; Nectriaceae
Description: eukaryotic LSU rRNA
Rfam family: 5.8S ribosomal RNA (bases 190-343)
Source: RNAcentral
GUAACAAGGUCUCCGUUGGUGAACCAGCGGAGGGAUCAUUACCGAGUUUACAACUCCCAAACCCCUGUGAACAUACCACUUGUUGCCUCGGCGGAUCAGCCCGCUCCCGGUAAAACGGGACGGCCCGCCAGAGGACCCCUAAACUCUGUUUCUAUAUGUAACUUCUGAGUAAAACCAUAAAUAAAUCAAAACUUUCAACAACGGAUCUCUUGGUUCUGGCAUCGAUGAAGAACGCAGCAAAAUGCGAUAAGUAAUGUGAAUUGCAGAAUUCAGUGAAUCAUCGAAUCUUUGAACGCACAUUGCGCCCGCCAGUAUUCUGGCGGGCAUGCCUGUUCGAGCGUCAUUUCAACCCUCAAGCACAGCUUGGUGUUGGGACUCGCGUUAAUUCGCGUUCCUCAAAUUGAUUGGCGGUCACGUCGAGCUUCCAUAGCGUAGUAGUAAAACCCUCGUUACUGGUAAUCGUCGCGGCCACGCCGUUAAACCCCAACUUCUGAAUGUUGACCUCGGAUCAGGUAGGAAUACCCGCUGAACUUAAGCAUAUCAA